CUUUCCUCUUCUAAAUCGAUCCUCUCAGGUAUUUUUGUCACAGUGAUGACCAGCUUAUUAACAUGCCUGUGUAACGGAACCUCCAUGAAAGCCCCUUUAGAAUUAUCUGAACAGACUUAGAAAGAGCAGGUACCUGCUGAGGGUCUCUGGUGUUGGACUUUGGACAUGGGGAAGGGAGCAGCUUCGGGACAGAGGAAAAGGUGAAGGUGGACUGGAGGAAGCAAGGAGAGAGUGGCAGAGAGGAAGGUGUCAUGCAAUCGGGCCCCACUUGCCCCCAGAAUACCACCAGAGGGCCUGGCCGGGCCAGAGACAGUCUCACAACUCACACCAAGCAGCCCCGCUGUUAACCACGCUCAGACCCUCGCCACCUGGGUUUUCCUCCGUUCUUCCACCACAGGUGUGGUUUCUGAUCUUGAUGGCCUACUGAGAUUUACCAGUGACAUCAGUCACCCCCGUCCCCAUGGCCAGCUCCUGAAGAUCUGAGUAGAUCUGAGCAGAAGAGAGGAUAGAGCUUUCAAAACAACAAUUGCACAGAAGUUAAGCAAGCACACAAGACUUUACUCAAGACCAUUGCUCUGGGGGACACAGGCCAGAGCUCCAUCAGAACGAC
RNAcentral lists this long non-coding RNA (610 nucleotides) under Marmota monax (woodchuck). Lineage: Eukaryota; Metazoa; Chordata; Mammalia; Rodentia; Sciuridae. The record is from RNAcentral.